This 1508-nucleotide ribosomal RNA is filed under the name Helicobacter pylori UM111. Its description in RNAcentral is "bacterial SSU rRNA". It matches the Rfam family "Bacterial small subunit ribosomal RNA". Lineage: Bacteria; Pseudomonadati; Campylobacterota; Epsilonproteobacteria; Campylobacterales; Helicobacteraceae. The record is from RNAcentral.
UUUAUGGAGAGUUUGAUCCUGGCUCAGAGUGAACGCUGGCGGCGUGCCUAAUACAUGCAAGUCGAACGAUGAAGCUUUCUAGCUUGCUAGAAAGCUGAUUAGUGGCGCACGGGUGAGUAACGCAUAGGUCAUGUGCCUCUUAGUUUGGGAUAGCCAUUGGAAACGAUGAUUAAUACCAGAUACUCCCUACGGGGGAAAGAUUUAUCGCUAAGAGAUCAGCCUAUGUCCUAUCAGCUUGUUGGUAAGGUAAUGGCUUACCAAGGCUAUGACGGGUAUCCGGCCUGAGAGGGUGAACGGACACACUGGAACUGAGACACGGUCCAGACUCCUACGGGAGGCAGCAGUAGGGAAUAUUGCUCAAUGGGGGAAACCCUGAAGCAGCAACGCCGCGUGGAGGAUGAAGGUUUUAGGAUUGUAAACUCCUUUUGUUAGAGAAGAUAAUGACGGUAUCUAACGAAUAAGCACCGGCUAACUCCGUGCCAGCAGCCGCGGUAAUACGGAGGGUGCAAGCGUUACUCGGAAUCACUGGGCGUAAAGAGCGCGUAGGCGGGAUAGUCAGUCAGGUGUGAAAUCCUAUGGCUUAACCAUAGAACUGCAUUUGAAACUACUAUUCUAGAGUGUGGGAGAGGUAGGUGGAAUUCUUGGUGUAGGGGUAAAAUCCGUAGAGAUCAAGAGGAAUACUCAUUGCGAAGGCGACCUGCUGGAACAUUACUGACGCUGAUUGCGCGAAAGCGUGGGGAGCAAACAGGAUUAGAUACCCUGGUAGUCCACGCCCUAAACGAUGGAUGCUAGUUGUUGGAGGGCUUAGUCUCUCCAGUAAUGCAGCUAACGCAUUAAGCAUCCCGCCUGGGGAGUACGGUCGCAAGAUUAAAACUCAAAGGAAUAGACGGGGACCCGCACAAGCGGUGGAGCAUGUGGUUUAAUUCGAAGAUACACGAAGAACCUUACCUAGGCUUGACAUUGAGAGAAUCCGCUAGAAAUAGUGGAGUGUCUGGCUUGCCAGACCUUGAAAACAGGUGCUGCACGGCUGUCGUCAGCUCGUGUCGUGAGAUGUUGGGUUAAGUCCCGCAACGAGCGCAACCCCCUUUCUUAGUUGCUAACAGGUUAUGCUGAGAACUCUAAGGAUACUGCCUCCGUAAGGAGGAGGAAGGUGGGGACGACGUCAAGUCAUCAUGGCCCUUACGCCUAGGGCUACACACGUGCUACAAUGGGGUGCACAAAGAGAAGCAAUACUGCGAAGUGGAGCCAAUCUUCAAAACACCUCUCAGUUCGGAUUGUAGGCUGCAACUCGCCUGCAUGAAGCUGGAAUCGCUAGUAAUCGCAAAUCAGCCAUGUUGCGGUGAAUACGUUCCCGGGUCUUGUACUCACCGCCCGUCACACCAUGGGAGUUGUGUUUGCCUUAAGUCAGGAUGCUAAAUUGGCUACUGCCCACGGCACACACAGCGACUGGGGUGAAGUCGUAACAAGGUAACCGUAGGUGAACCUGCGGUUGGAUCACCUCCUUUCUA